RNA transcript from Sitophilus oryzae (rice weevil), 820 nucleotides. It is a transcript of the gene named peroxiredoxin-2-like, with no coding region annotated. The transcript is spliced from 3 exons. The record is from RefSeq and is a predicted model, not a curated record. Lineage: Eukaryota; Metazoa; Arthropoda; Insecta; Coleoptera; Curculionidae.
AUGACUCCAAUUCACUACAAAACCUGUGCACCAUCUUUCAGCGGUACCGCUGUAAUUAAAGGCGACUUCGCUAGACAUCAAAUUGAAGAUCUCUAAAGGUACAAACUUAAAAUUAUUUGUCAAAAUUUGCCCUAAUAUUGUACAUUUGCAGGCCAAUAUGUAGUAUUAUUCUUCUACCCUCUCGAUUUCACUUUUGUCUGCCCAACUGAAAUCAUCGCCUUCUCCGACAGAGCUGAAGAAUUCAAGAAGAUUAACACUGCAGUUAUUGGAGUGUCCACUGACAGUCAUUUCUCCCAUUUGGCAUGGAUCAACACCCCCCGUAAACAGGGAGGUUUGGGUGAAAUGCAAAUCCCCCUUUUGGCCGACAAGAGUAUGGCCAUUGCUAAAGCUUACGGAGUUUUAGAUGAAUCGAGCGGUAUCGCUUUUCGUGGAUUGUUCAUCAUCGAUCCAAAGGGAACCCUUCGUCAGGUCACGGUCAACGACUUGCCAGUAGGUCGUUCGGUUGACGAGACCCUCCGUUUGGUUCAAGCCUUCCAAUUCACUGAUGAACACGGUGAGGUGUGUCCAGCCGGCUGGACUCCGGGCAAGAAAACCAUCAAACCAACAGUGGACAAGAGCAAGGAAUACUUCAACACCGCCAACUAAGUUGGGCUCGUGUCCCAGAACACUUUUUUUUACCUACUCCAUAUUUUAUUUACUUCCAAAAUUUGUUUUCCCUUUAGUGUAACUGUUUUGUGUUUUUGAUGUUCUUUGGUUAUUCAUUAUACAACUUAAUAUUAAGAAUAAAUAUUGUUAACAAAUGUAAUAAAACAUUGUGUAU